Molecule: long non-coding RNA, 269 nt
Filed under: Manihot esculenta (cassava)
Lineage: Eukaryota; Viridiplantae; Streptophyta; Magnoliopsida; Malpighiales; Euphorbiaceae
Description: long non-coding RNA (MESC_LNC012401)
Source: RNAcentral
UUUAAAGCAAAUGAAUUAUAAAGUUGAGCAUGUUCAUGCAUCAUGAAUGCCAUAUGAUGAAUUAGGUUGUCUGCAUUAGAAUUCACGAAUAUGUUGCAUUGCAUUUAUGAUGUUGAUGUGGAUUGGUCAUUGAAUGAUCCUUUAGUCCUCAUAUGGUAUGAUGAUGCUACGGCAUGAGAUGGUAUGGAAGUCCAGGUUGUACCCAUUCUACGUCCCUGGCACUAUGUAAGAGAAAGUCCAGGUUGUACCCAUUCUACGUCCCUGGCACA